GCAUGUUCUAGACAUUUGGUUAAAUUUACUUUCACCGGCUACAUUAUGUGAUGGUUUAUGUUCUAGAUAGAUAGUUAUCGUCACAUAAAGAGUUUUCAUGGUCGUUUUGGGGGUGAUACUUGUCCUAAAGACUUUAUCAAGUGCGACUUUGCAAUAUAAAGUAUCAAAGAUGAUUUAGUUAUGUAAUAAUGUCUCUUAUGAUCACAUAUGUAAAUCGUUUGCGCACAUACAAUGUGAUGCCUAAAGAUAAGAUUACUAUUGUGGAUGUAAAAAGGAAACCAUGGUUGUUGAUCGAUUAUCAUAAGUUUGGUAUAAGUUUUAUGAUCCUAUUAUGAAGAAAAUUAUCAUAAGUUGUAAUGUUGAAUUCAUUGAAGACCAAUGGUUGAAAAAUAUUAAUAUGUACGUGAUUUUAG
This 413-nucleotide long non-coding RNA is filed under the name Medicago truncatula (barrel medic). RNAcentral's name for it is "lncRNA gene37599". Lineage: Eukaryota; Viridiplantae; Streptophyta; Magnoliopsida; Fabales; Fabaceae. The record is from RNAcentral.